CAUUGUCGAGACCCGAAAGUGACCGAGCAAUUCUGAUAACCUGUGAACAAUAUAUAAGGCGGCGGCACAUGCCGCCGUUAAACACCCUCCUCCCUUUAUUCCCAAACCCCCUGAACGGAGUGAGGAUGGAGAGGAGGGUGGAAAACAAACCCGGCGCAGCUCCGCGCCAAGGAAUUUGUAAAGUGUGAGUGUGCACGGAACAUUCUCCAGGCCCGAUGGACUUGGCGGAGUGUUGUUGCUACUUGCUAUGGUUUGUAGGACUCUCGACAAUGGAUAUCUUGGCUCUUGCAUCGAUGAAGAGCGCAGCGAAAUGCGAUACGUGGUGCGAAUUGCAGAAUCCCGUGAACCAUCGAGUUUUUGAACGCAAGUUGCGCCCGAGGCCACCUGGCCAAGGGCACGCCCGCCUGGGCGUCAUGCAUCAUGUCGCUUCGUACAUCACUAACCGCCAAUGUGCGGGACGGUGCUGGCAUGAAUGCGGAGGGUGGCCCGUCGUGCAUAUAAUUGUGUGGCGGGUUGAAGAGCUGGAAGCCUUCCUAUUGGCUAUGGUCGAUGAUUGGUGGAUGGAAGCGGUCGUUAGGCCCACAUUAACGCUAUCGUACCGUUAUGUCGAGGAAGGCAAACUUAAAUCCUAUAGGCGAACCUAACUGGCACACAGUAGGUGCUGCCUCGAAUGCGACCCCAGGAUGGGCGGGAU
This 694-nucleotide ribosomal RNA is filed under the name Acianthus borealis. RNAcentral describes it as "eukaryotic LSU rRNA". The stretch from base 259 to 414 matches the Rfam family "5.8S ribosomal RNA". Lineage: Eukaryota; Viridiplantae; Streptophyta; Magnoliopsida; Asparagales; Orchidaceae. The record is from RNAcentral.